UGCCAUGACUAAACUGACUGUUCUUGGCAAUGUGAAAUAACGUUUAUCAGAUUGAUAAGUCAGAAGUUUGUGUUGCAUAGAACUUGGGAAGCAGGAAAGUUGCAAAACUAAAAUGCAAAGAAGCAGAGUAAAAGCAGCAUGUUGGGCUGGUUUGAGCACUGAUGGAGUACACUGUGACUCUGGUGCUAAUGAAGCUUACUUCGGUGGAGGAACAAAGUUAACUGUUUUAGGUAAGAAAUCAAAUCAAUUGAAAAAAAUAGCACUGUACUUAGAGUGUUUCUUACUGUACUUAAGUCUAGUUUACCAAAGAAGCAAAGUAAAAGCAGCAUGUUGGGCUGGUUUGAGCACCGAUAAGGUGCACUGUGGCUCUGGUGGUUAUGAAGCUUACUUCGGUGGAGGAACAAAGUUAACCGUUUUGGAACCAGACCAUGCUAUCAACCCACCAACAGUGAAGGUGCUUGAACCUUCAUCAAAGGAGUGUCGGAAGCAGACAGACGGAGAGAGGAAGAAGACCAUUGUCUGUGUGGCCAGUGGAUUCUACCCGGACCAUGUCACUGUUGACUGGGAGAUCGACGGGGAGACUCAAACCGCUGGUGUGGCCACUGAUCAGGCUGCCCAGCGGGAAGGCAAGACGUACAGAAUCACCAGCAGGCUGAGGGUCCCUAGAGAAUACUGGUUCACACUCGGCAAAAACUUCACCUGCAUCGUCAACUUCUACAAUGGAAGUGCAAGAAAUCCUUAUCCCGAGACAGUUCUGGGUGUUGAAGGUGAAGAAGAAGGCGGCAUGACAAGAGAGGAUUAUAUGAAGAUCUCCCAGACGGCCAAACUCUCCUACGGUCUUCUAAUCAUCAAGAGCAGCCUCUAUGGAGCCUUUGUGGCCUUUUUGGUGUGGAAGCUUCAGAAAAAAGGAAAACAGAACUACAGAGAGCUGAGCCCUGAACAAAGGAAAUCUAUGGGGAACAACAGUGGUGAAUUCUAUAAAUAAAAAAAA
Molecule: non-coding RNA, 991 nt
Organism: Etheostoma cragini (Arkansas darter)
Lineage: Eukaryota; Metazoa; Chordata; Actinopteri; Perciformes; Percidae
Source: the annotation of a RefSeq genome assembly